Molecule: non-coding RNA, 74 nt
Organism: Aedes albopictus (Asian tiger mosquito)
Lineage: Eukaryota; Metazoa; Arthropoda; Insecta; Diptera; Culicidae
Source: Rfam
UGUUCUGUGGCUUAGUAGGUUGAAGCAUCAGUCUAGAGAAUACGGAGUCGUGGGUUCAAACCCUACCAGAAUAC